This 428-nucleotide ribosomal RNA is filed under the name uncultured archaeon. RNAcentral describes it as "bacterial SSU rRNA". It matches the Rfam family "Archaeal small subunit ribosomal RNA", at positions 401 to 827 of the family's 1478-position model. The record is from RNAcentral.
AUCUGGCUGUCGAGAUGCCUAAAAAGCAUUUCAUAGCAAGGGCCGGGCAAGACCGGUGCCAGCCGCCGCGGUAACACCGGCGGCUCGAGUGGUAACCGUUAUUAUUGGGUCUAAAGGGUCUGUAGCCGGCCGGAUAAGUCUCUUGAGAAAUCUGGCAGCUUAACUGUCAGGCUUUCAGGAGAUACUGUCUGGCUCGAGGCCGGGAGAGGUGAGAGGUACUUCAGGGGUAGGGGUGAAAUCUUGUAAUCCUUGAAGGACCACCAGUGGCGAAGGCGUCUCACCAGAACGGACCUGACGGCAAGGGACGAAAGCUAGGGGCACGAACCGGAUUAGAUACCCGGGUAGUCCUAGCCGUAAACGAUACUCGCUAGGUGUCGGCCACGGUGCGACCGUUGUCGGUGCCGUAGGGAAGCCGUGAAGCGAGCCAC